RNAcentral lists this transfer RNA (65 nucleotides) under Laeonereis culveri. RNAcentral describes it as "tRNA-Trp". The record is from RNAcentral. Lineage: Eukaryota; Metazoa; Annelida; Polychaeta; Phyllodocida; Nereididae.
AGGAUUUUAAGUUAACAUAAACUAAUGGUCUUCAAAGCCUUAAAUGAUAUUUAAAUCAAAUCCUG